Molecule: ribosomal RNA, 344 nt
Filed under: Ceronema caudatum
Lineage: Eukaryota; Metazoa; Arthropoda; Insecta; Hemiptera; Coccidae
Description: partial large subunit ribosomal RNA
Source: RNAcentral
UGAAACCGUUCGGGGGUAAACGGACAGAGCCCGUGAAUCCGGGCGAGCGGAAUUCAGGACCGACGAGGCGGGUGCUUCUCGGCACUCGUUUCGUCGAUUCGAUAUUUCCGCCGCCGACCUUUACGGGUGCGGACGUCGCGACCCGUUCGUCGUCGGUCUGACGAGUCGCGUUUCAAGUUUGUCACGCGUACGCUCUCGGGCGUGCGCGCGGCGAUGGCGCGUUCCUCGGACCGGCGUUCGCGGACGGUAGCUGUAAACGCGCGGGUAAUCGACGCGGCCGAUCUCGGGUUUUCGGGCCCGAGGGUGCUCGCGUCGACGCCGGUCAGCGACGAAUCUUCGGGCCU